GUUUCAGUGGUCUAGCGGUUAUGAUUUCUGUCUAACAAGACGCCUACGUGGUCGCUAUAUUACACAGAAGGUUCCAGGUUCGAUUCCUGGCUGAAACA
Lithohypha guttulata is the source of this 98-nucleotide non-coding RNA. NCBI's taxonomy places the organism in Eukaryota, Fungi, Ascomycota, Eurotiomycetes, Chaetothyriales, Trichomeriaceae. The record is from the annotation of a RefSeq genome assembly.